This 429-nucleotide ribosomal RNA is filed under the name Gemmatimonadota bacterium. Its description in RNAcentral is "Gemmatimonadetes bacterium partial 16S ribosomal RNA". It matches the Rfam family "Bacterial small subunit ribosomal RNA", at positions 355 to 776 of the family's 1533-position model. The record is from RNAcentral. Lineage: Bacteria; Pseudomonadati; Gemmatimonadota.
UAGGGAAUCUUCGGCAAUGGACGAAAGUCUGACCGAGCAACGCCGCGUGAGUGAAGAAGGUUUUCGGAUCGUAAAACUCUGUUGUUAGAGAAGAACAAGGACGUUAGUAACUGAACGUCCCCUGACGGUAUCUAACCAGAAAGCCACGGCUAACUACGUGCCAGCAGCCGCGGUAAUACGUAGGUGGCAAGCGUUGUCCGGGUUUAUUGGGCGUAAAGCGAGCGCAGGCGGUUUCUUAAGUCUGAUGUGAAAGCCCCCGGCUCAACCGGGGAGGGUCAUUGGAAACUGGGAGAGUUGAGUGCAGAAGAGGAGAGUGGAAUUCCAUGUGUAGCGGUGAAAUGCGUAGAUAUAUGGAGGAACACCAGUGGCGAAGGCGGCUCUCUGGUCUGUAACUGACGCUGAGGCUCGAAAGCGUGGGGAGCAAACAGG